GACGAACGCUGGCGGCGUGCCUAACACAUGCAAGUCGAACGGUCCGGCGCUCAACCGACCCUCAGUCUAACUGUAGGGGAAGUUGAGUGCCGGGUAGUGGCGGACGGGUGAGUAACGCGUGGGCAACCAACCCUGUACAGUGGGAUAACACCGGGAAACCGGUGCUAAUACCGCAUGACACCUAUAUGGUGCAUACCGUAUAGGUUAAAGGAUUUAACCGGUACAGGACGGGCCCGCGUCCCAUUAGCUAGUUGGUGAGGUAACGGCCCACCAAGGCGACGAUGGGUAGCCGACCUGAGAGGGUGACCGGCCACACUGGGACUGAGACACGGCCCAGACUCCUACGGGAGGCAGCAGUGGGGAAUAUUGCGCAAUGGGGGGAACCCUGACGCAGCGACGCCGCGUGAGCGACGAAGGCCUUCGGUCGUAAAGCUCUGUUCUUGGGGACGAAGGAAAUGACGGUACCCAAGGAGAAAGCCCCGGCUAACUACGUG
This 494-nucleotide ribosomal RNA is filed under the name uncultured bacterium. Its description in RNAcentral is "bacterial SSU rRNA". It matches the Rfam family "Bacterial small subunit ribosomal RNA", at positions 28 to 507 of the family's 1533-position model. The record is from RNAcentral.